Molecule: non-coding RNA, 95 nt
Organism: Mycena metata
Lineage: Eukaryota; Fungi; Basidiomycota; Agaricomycetes; Agaricales; Mycenaceae
Source: the annotation of a GenBank genome assembly
GGCCUGGUGGUGCAGUGGUAGCACUCGUGGAUGUACUUUGCAUUGUGUCGGCACUUAUUCUCUGCACGACCCUUGUUUGAUUCAAGGCCAUGCCU